Long non-coding RNA from Gallus gallus (chicken), 2585 nucleotides. RefSeq lists it as uncharacterized. The record is from RefSeq and is a predicted model, not a curated record. Lineage: Eukaryota; Metazoa; Chordata; Aves; Galliformes; Phasianidae. The transcript has 4 exons.
GGCGAGGUACGGAGUGUCGCUUUUGGAGCGGACGCGGCGGAUGGGUCUGCGGUCGAUGUCCUCCUCGGAAGAUGCCGCCAUUAAUGUGGGCACGGUGCAUCCUAAGAGGCAGUGCUUGCAGAGCUCCCCUCUUUGGCAGUUUUGAGAAGCCACAGCUUGUAACAGAGGGAACUGGCAGCCCAUCCAAGGACAAGUCAUCCUGAGGGGAAACCAAGGCCACUGCACCACCCAUGCUGUAACGUCACCCACCCACUUCUGUGAGCAUCCUGGACAGCCAGUGUUCUCCAGCUGUGUCGACACCUGGAAUUUUUGGCUGAGGAUCCUCACCACUGUGCCUACACUGUGCCGCACUGCUGCAGAAACCUUCAUCCCAUAGGCUACUCAAGGCAGUUCCAGUUCCAGAGUUUGGAAUACUACUGGAUUUUUCCAUGUGAGGGAAGACCACCACUAGCCGACCAGGGCAAGGAGCCUAAAGACUACCUGGAUUACUUUCUUCAUCUGUUAGUGUGGCAUUUUAUUAGAAAAGCCACAGACCCUGCAUUGCAGAAACUCAUGAAAGAGGCACAGCUGGCCAUGCUGGCCUUCCCCAGGUUGCCAGGUCACCUUAUUGUUGACAGUUCUACCAGUUCUGCAGCACCACUGCCAACCCAUGGCUGUGAACUGGUGAGCUUGGAGACAUUUUGCUGGUUCAGGAGAGAGGUCUCCUAAAGCUCCUUGGGGGUCUCCAUCCCAGUGCCUGAAAAGGUCCCAGAGGACGUAGGGCUCAAUUCACUGUGAACUAGAAUGGCAAACAGUUUGGUUUUCUUCUGGAUCACUUGCCACCAACUACUUAAAAAAAAAAAUACAGACCACCCCCCCUACAAUUGAGCUCUUAUCUGCUGAACUCUGCAUAUGCGAAUUUUGUUUCCUGUUAUUGCAGCAACAGUAGGAUGGAGGAAUGCUCUUGAUUUCCUUUUUCAGAAAAGUUUUCUUUUCUAAACAAUUGGUACUAAGCAGAACAAAACAACUAAGCAACAGCAUGCUUAUUUCACAAAUUUCCAGUAAUGUUAGAGCUCUGUACAUUGUUUCAGCUCUUGCCAAGAUGAAAUUUGAUUGCGUUAAUGUUAAUCAGUAUUAAAUUUGUCUAAGAGACUUCCACUACAGACUUUCUGGAUCUUUAGAGACUGGCCCUGCUCUCAGUUGGAAGAGUGGGCUCUCAGCAUUAGUGCCAGGAACUUCUGUAGGGUUUUCACCAUUCUACAAAAAUAGGUGUGAUCAUAAUGUGCUUGUUCACGUGGCUAUGCAUGUGUACUUGCUGGCAGGGAUAUAGGUGUGACCUUCUCUAGUAACUCUUGAGCCAUCUGACCAAUCUCAACCAGCCUGAUAGAAGAGCAUAGACUACAAUAAUUAUUAAAGUCUUGCAAUUAACAGGAGAGAGACCACAGAAAAUGGCCACUCCAGGGAAAGAGUGCAGGGUGAGCGUCCAACAGAGCACAUGUGAAUGAGCAAGAAAAGUCUCAUUCAGGGCUUGCCGUGAGCUGCUCAUUGGCAGUUUGUAGCAAGGCCAAACACCUUCUCUGAAUGCCUGGAGCAGGCUGAAGCAGGAUAAAAUAGUAGUACAAUCAACAGCAAUGUAAUCAGCAUCACAUGCUUGCUCAUAUACCUAUUUGGAUGGUUAGGAAUUGGAUUAUCCAGUAAGACCAUAAGGGCACAAUCUAUAUCAUAUUUCAUAAGUGCCUGUGUAACAUAUUAGCCAAUAUAAGUUUGGCUACGGAAGUCAUAUUAAUUAACCAAUAGCUGUGAAGAAGGUUCCAGUCUUGUCUUAAAUGAAUCCCUCUGUGCCAUACACUAGACAUUCACUGAUUUCUGGGGGAACGUAAAGUGCUUGUUUAUACACAAAAAACCAAAGCAACUCAAGGGUGUUUUCUUGCCUCAUGAUUUUAAUUAGGACAGAUGAGAUCGAUGGAGCCAGUAAAGAAACACCACCUCCUCACACAGCAGGGACUCUUCAGGCAGUCCCAGUCCUGUGUCUCCUGAAGCCUUUGGAAGAGAGUACAACUUCCAUGUCUUCCCUAAAUUGCACCUAAAUUGCAGCUCACCUUCCUGGAGCGUGAGCUGUUACAAGACUGGAGAAUGGAGUAGUGGAGAUUAGAUAUAAACAUGACCAUUGACACCAUGCACAAUAUGCCUGAACCAGCUCUUUUUUACCCUAGUGGAAUCUGGAUCAGAUUGCACUUUCUGCAGCUGAAAGUCAGUGAGAGGCAGGCCCUACAGUGAUGCUGCCCAGCAACAGCCCAGUCUUAAAGGCAAAUCUGUGAAUUACUGGAACACUAACUGACAUUGUGACAGAGUAGUAUAAUCAAUAUCUUUUCUACAAUAAAACAAUUUAGACAUUUUAUGGCGUGCUCAUCAGAAUUAACUCUUCAGCCAGAAUCUUAUCAGUAGUAUAUGAGCAGCUGGUUUGUUUAUGUUUUUCAUUGUUCAUUUCAAGGAAUUCUCCAUUUGUUUCUUACAAAUUAAUAUCUUGCAUCAUGCCUUACUCUGAUGGCUUAUUUUACAUUUGAGGAAUGCAAAACAAUUGCACAAUAAAUCACAGGAGGAAUGUA